RNAcentral lists this ribosomal RNA (208 nucleotides) under uncultured bacterium. RNAcentral's name for it is "partial 16S ribosomal RNA". It matches the Rfam family "Bacterial small subunit ribosomal RNA", at positions 568 to 774 of the family's 1533-position model. The record is from RNAcentral.
AGCGUAGACGGUGUGGCAAGUCUGAUGUGAAAGGCAUGGGCCCAACCCUGUGGACUGCAUUGGAAACUGUCAUACUUGAGUGCCGGAGGGGUAAGCGGAAUUCCUAGUGUAGCGGUGAAAUGCGUAGAUAUUAGGAGGAACACCAGUGGCGAAGGCGGCUUACUGGACGGUAACUGACGUUGAGGCUCGAAAGCGUGGGGAGCAAACA